Molecule: long non-coding RNA, 2997 nt
Organism: Anolis carolinensis (green anole)
Lineage: Eukaryota; Metazoa; Chordata; Lepidosauria; Squamata; Anolidae
Exons: 2
Source: RefSeq, a predicted model, not a curated record
GACUGGCAAUGGAAGAGGAGAAGAAAGCGGGGGUGAAAGCAGGCUCGGGAUAGGCUGAGAGAAAAGACUGGCUCACUGAGGUUGCUGCAUCUACACUGUGGAAUUAAUUAAGUUUGUCACUACAUCGUGUCCAUGUCGUGGAAUCCAGGGAUAUGUAGUUUGGUGAAGCACACGGGACGUGUAGUUUGGUGAGAGAAGGCUAAAGACCUUGUAGAGCUACAACUCCCAGGAUUCCACAGCAUUGACGCAUGGCACUCCAAGUGGUGUCAAACUGCAUUAAUUCUGUAAUGUAAACGUACCCUAUAGACUGACUGGAAAUCAAUGCAGGUUUUGCUUUGGCAAUUUCUCAGAGCUGAGGAAGCAGGGAUUUAAGCGGACCAUUGAGUCCCUCUGCUGCCACCUGCUGGUUGGAGAUCUCAUGGCGAUAUUUUGAAUUGCCAGAUGUCCAAGCUGGGUUCAGAAAAGGCAGAGGAACGAGAGGCCAAAUUGUCAAUAUCCGCUGGAUAAUGGAGGAAGCCAGGGAGUUCCAGAAAAACAUCUACUUCUGCUUUAUUGUCUAUUCUAAAGCCUUCGACUGUGUGGAUCAUAAUAAACUGUGGCAUGUUCUUGGUGGUCUGGGGAUACCAAGUCACCUUGUCUGUCUCCUGAGAAAUCUGUAUAAAGACCAAGUAGCCGCAGUAAGAACAGAUCACGGAACAACAGACUGGUUCAAGAUUGGGAAAGGCUGUAUACUCUCACCCUCCCUAUUCAACUUGUACGCAGAACACAUCAUGCGACGUGCGGGGCUUGAGGAAUCCAAGGCCGGAGUUAAAAUUGCUGGAAGGAACAUUAACAACCUUAGAUAUGCAGAUGAUACCACUCUGAUGGCCAAAAGUGAGGAAGACCUGAGGAGCCUUAUCACCAAGGUGAAAGAAGAAAGUGCAAAAGCCGGGCUGCAGUUAAACGUCAAGAAAACCAAGAUCAUGGCAACCAGACCGAUUGACAACUGGCAAAUAGAGGGAGAAACGUGGAGGCAGUGACAGACUUUAUAUUUCUAGGCGCGAAGAUCACUGCAGAUGCAGACUUCAGCCAGGAAAUCAGAAGACGUCUACUUCUUGGGAGGAGAGCAAUGGCCAACCUUGACAAAAUAGUGAAGAGCAGAGACAUCACACUGGCAACGAAGGUCCGCAUAGUCAAAGCAAUGGUAUUCCCCAUAGAAACCUAUGGAUGCGAGAGCUGGACCAUAAGGAAGGCUGAGCUAAAGAAGAUGGCUGCUUUUGAACUUUGGUGCUGGAGGAAAAUCCAGAGAGUGCCUUGGACCGUAAGAAGAUCCAUCCAGUCCGUCCUCCAGGAAAUAAUGCCCAAUGGCUGCUCACUGGAGGGAAGGACAUUAGAGGCAAAGAUGAAGUAUUUUGGCCACAUCAUGAGGAGACAGGAAAGCUUGGAAAAGAUCACGAUGCUGGAGAAAAUGGAAGGAAAAAGGAAGAGAGGCCGACCAAGGGCAAGAUGGAUGGAUGGAUGGAUGGAUCCUUGAAGUGACUGGCUUGACCUUGAAGGAACUGGGGGCAGUGACAGCCGACAGGGAGCUCUGGCGUGGACUGGUCCAUGAGGUCACGAAGAGUCAGAAACGACUAUGCGAUUGAGCAGCAGCAGAUCUAGAAUUACAGUUUGGACACUCCUUGCCCUGAAGCAUGCAACACAGUUGCCCCAGGGAUUCUGUAUCCGCGGAUUCAAUUAUCCCAUGGAUUGGGAAUUUUAAAAAAUCCAACAAAGCAAACCUUGAUUUUGGCAUCUUACGGUAUGCAAGGGACACUUAUUUUAUUAUGCCGUUAAGGAACAUAAGUUUGUCCAUGCUGUGUAUCUCUUCCAAUUUAUACAUCCAAGAGUCUUUCUUCGGAGUUUCUUCUAAUUUCCAAACUUUCGCGAAUGUCAUCCUGGCGGCUGUAGCACAAUAUGUAAAUAAAAUGUCAUCAUUUGUAUCAAAUUUAAUCUCAUUAUCUAUAAUGAAUAAUAUCCUAAUAAAUAAUAUUCAGGUUUUAAUAAAUAUUUCUUUUGUAAAAUAAUUUGUGUUUCUUGGUGAAUCAUUUCCCAAUAUUUUUUAGUCUUUUCACAAGUCCACCAUAGAUGGUAGAAUGAGCCUUCCUGGAUUUUACAUUUCCAACAUUUCCUAUCAUAAUUUUUAUACAUUUGACCUAAUGUUUUUGGCAUCAUAUACUAUCUGUGGAAUAGUUUAAGCCAGUUUUCCUUUAAGUCGGAAGCAUAUGUAUAUUUCAUCUUGUUAUUCCAAAUUUCUUCCCAUUCUGCUAGUUUAAUCGGGCAGCCAAUAUUCCUAGCCCAUUUCACCAUACAGUUCUUGAUUUCUUCCAUUUCCGUUGACCAUUCUAGUAAAAUAGUAUAAAUCUUAGAAAUUGUUUUCUUAUUGUUUAGUGUUAUUUUGUCCCAAACAUUGUCAGGGUUGCUGAAACCAAUUAUAUUGUCCUUGUUAAACUGUUCCUUUAUUUGUGCAUAUUGGGGCCGGGCUGUGGCGCAGGCUGUUGAGCAGCUGCAAUAAAUCACUCUGACCAUGAGGUCAUGAGUUCGAGGCCAGCCCGUGGCGGGGUGAGCACCCAUCAAUUAAAAGUAAAAAAUAGACCCUGCUCGUUGCUGACUUAGCAACCCGAAAGAUAGUUGCAUCUAUCAAGUAGGAAAUAAGGUACCACUUAUAAAAGUGGGGAGGCAAGUUUAACUAAUUUACGACUUGGAAUGAGGAAGUGCCGUCAGAGUGGAUGAUGAAGCAGCUGCUCCCCCUUGUGGCCAGAAUCGAACAUCCCCUCAGGAGAAGGUUAAAUUGCCUCUGCGUCUGUCUGUCUCGGUCUCUGUUUGAUGUGUUUAUGGGCAUUGAAUGUUUGCCCUAUGUGUGUAUAAUGUGAUCCGCCCUGAGUCCCCUUUGGGGUGAGAAGGGCGGAAUAUAAAUACUGUAAGUAAAUAAAUAAAUAAAUAAAUAUUGAAACCAGGAAAUACCAGGGAAAUUCAACUUUA